Molecule: long non-coding RNA, 1217 nt
Filed under: Nicotiana benthamiana
Lineage: Eukaryota; Viridiplantae; Streptophyta; Magnoliopsida; Solanales; Solanaceae
Description: long non-coding RNA (NBEN_LNC015457)
Source: RNAcentral
UUCCCACCUUGCUCUUGGAGAGACUCGAACUCACAACCUCUCGGUUGGAAGUGGGGGUUGCUUACCAUAAGAGCAACCCCUCUUGUCUCCCCCUUCCUCUGGUAGUGGGAAAGUGAAUACACAGUUAUUUACAUCAAUAGGGCAAAUCUGUUUAGCAUUAUUGGCUGUUAAAGGAUGGAAAAUAGAAUUCAGAGUGCAGGAAUGGCUCACUUAUAAUCGACUCAAAACUUCAAGGUUUCUCCACUAAAUAGUCUCUCUCUUUCUCACAGUUGCCUUCCUUCAUCUUCUUUUUAAACCAAAGCUACACUACAUAAAUACUUAGUAUAUUGCAUUCACUUAUUCCACAGAAAACACGUUAAAAUGACUAAAACGUGAGAGUCCAAAUGUUUAUCUGGUGAUCAAUAUUAUGGAAAAGAAUAUCCUUGUACCUUAGUUUCAAAUAUCUUCCACUAUGUUUCCUUUUAUUCCACCAUACUUUGAGGGGAUCAAUAACAUUCCCUACUCAGGCACUUACCCAACGUGAGCAGAGGCACCUUGAGUAUAAAAUCAAUGGACCGACUGAACCAGUAUUUUCGACACAUACAUAUGUGAAAAAUCACUAAAGUUUUUUUGCAAUUAUUAAUUUCUAAACUUAUAAUUUCAAAAGUGUAAUGGGUUCAGGUAUAAUAAUUGAACGCAUCAAAUGCCUCCGAAUUUUACUGGUACCCGCGACUCAUAGGUUGGAGGUGUAGGUGGCUUAGCAUUGAGCCAAACCUCAUUCAUUCCAUUAUAUUUUUGCUACCGAUUCCAAUAUUUUACUCAUAUAGUUUCAUAAUAACAUAGAUUUUAAAAGACAAAAGGAGUUGCAACCUUUCGUAAGAGCUCUUGCUAUUAAACAUGUUGACCGUUAGUACAACAACAACAACAACUAUUCAGUAUAGUCCCACAAAGUGGGGUCUGGGGAGGGUAAUAUGUUCUCCAUCCUCAUUACCUUUUUUGCUUCUUUAUAAAACAACAACAACAACUACCCAAUAUAGUCUCACAAAGUGGAGUCUGAGGAAGGUAAUAUGUAGACGAGCCUUACCCCUACCCGAAAGGGCAGAGAGGCUGUUUCCAAUCGACCCUCGGCUCAGUGAAGGAAUGUAAAAACAAAAACAAAGAUAAAAGAGCAGGACUCCAACAGAAAUAGCGUAAAUAAUUAUGUAAACAUAAGAACCAUAAAUAAAAUAGCAUGCAAU